UGGGGAAUAUUGGACAAUGGGCGCAAGCCUGAUCCAGCCAUGCCGCGUGGGUGAAGAAGGCCUUCGGGUUGUAAAGCCCUUUUGUUGGGGAAGAAAUCGUACGGGUGAAUAUCCCGUGCGGAUGACGGUACCCAAAGAAUAAGCACCGGCUAACUUCGUGCCAGCAGCCGCGGUAAUACGAAGGGUGCAAGCGUUACUCGGAAUUACUGGGCGUAAAGCGUGCGUAGGCGGUUCGUUAAGUCUGUCGUGAAAGCCCUGGGCUCAACCUGGGAAUUGCGAUGGAUACUGGCGAGCUAGAGUGCGGUAGAGGAUGGUGGAAUUCCCGGUGUAACGGUGAAAUGCGUAGAGAUCGGGAGGAACACCCGUGGCGAAGGCGGCCAUCUGGACCAGCACUGACGCUGAGGCACGAAAGCGUGGGGAGCAAACAGG
Molecule: ribosomal RNA, 429 nt
Filed under: Bacillota bacterium
Lineage: Bacteria; Bacillati; Bacillota
Description: Firmicutes bacterium partial 16S ribosomal RNA
Rfam family: Bacterial small subunit ribosomal RNA
Source: RNAcentral